CAGCCCUAAACGAUGCGCGUUAGGUGUAUCGGUGACCACGAGUCACCGAGGUGCCGAAGGGAAACCGUGAAACGUGCCGCCUGGGAAGUACGGUCGCAAGGCUGAAACUUAAAGGAAUUGGCGGGGGAGGCACCACAACGGGUGGGAGCCUGCGGUUUAAUUGGACUCAACGCCGGGAAGCUCACCGGAUAAGACAGCGGAAUGAUUGCCGGGCUGAAGACCCUGCAUGACUAGCUGAGAGGAGGUGCAUGGCGUAGACGUCU
This 263-nucleotide ribosomal RNA is filed under the name uncultured archaeon. RNAcentral's name for it is "partial 16S ribosomal RNA". It matches the Rfam family "Archaeal small subunit ribosomal RNA", at positions 748 to 1009 of the family's 1478-position model. The record is from RNAcentral.